Molecule: RNA transcript, 2964 nt
Organism: Lotus japonicus
Lineage: Eukaryota; Viridiplantae; Streptophyta; Magnoliopsida; Fabales; Fabaceae
Exons: 2
Source: RefSeq, a predicted model, not a curated record
UUAUAUAAGGGUAAACUUGUCACUAGAGCAAAAUUAUAGCAUUCCCACUGUUUUCCUUCCAGUUUUGAGAAGAAAACUUUACCGCGGGCCCUUUCCCCCUUUUUUUUGCCAUACCAAACGAAAACGAAGGAAGGAUUUUUAUUUCACAUCUUUUGAUUUUGUCGUGUGUUACACUUCCAUUCUACCAUGUCCCUCUCUCUCUGCCAACUUGUUCAACAGUGACAAAAUUCAACUUCCAUGAUUGAAAAUUCAAAUUCCGUAACCUAAUUCCCUUUGAAUCGAACGCUGUAACGCACGCACGCGCUUCGAUUUGAUGUCUGGUUCUUCUUCCAUUGAUGAUGAGUUCUCCAAUGGUGAUGGUUACGAAGGAGGAGGCAGUGAUAGCGAUGACGAUGAGGAUAAGAAGAAGAACCACCGCACCACAAAAAUGGGUUGUGGUGGUUUUCGGAAGGAGGUGGUUCUGCAUCCAUUCACAAAAGCCAAGAACCAAAUCCGCAGAAUCAAGAGCAGAAAGCCUCUUCUUGCAUCUUCAUCAUCAAAAUCGUUAUCGAAUUCCACAGCAGGUAAGAAGGUUAUUACUACUCGAGUUGAUGGUGAUGGUGCUCCAACUGGAACAGGGUGCAAGUUUUGUUUCUCGCGUCCCCUUGUGUUGGAAACCCCUAAUUUAUCACCUAUUAGUGACCCCAAUCACCCUAAUUUCACUCAUGCCAUGUUGAAAAAUUUGAUACAGAAUAAUGAUUUCUAUUGCAAAGAAUGCAAUCCUCACUUGGAUUAGUAGGACUUCACUGUUGGAGAUUCUUUGCGUUUGGUUCCUUUGUCAACAACAUGCUGUUGAUCAUAGAUUUAGAACAUGUUAAUAUGCAUUGGAAAAUGAAAUGAUUUUAUAGAAAACAAAGAGUUGCUUCAUCAACUGGUAUGAAAGAUGUUGAUCAAAACUGGAUUCUUUUCUAUUCUGGAACAUUAGUUGUCCUCAAUCUGAGAAGUGGGUGGUGUACAUACUGAAAUUGAAAUUUUUUGAACCCUGCUAUUUUGGUAAUACCUUUCUUGUUGAUAGGAAUUUUUCAUCAUUUUACUCAUGUAUGCAACUUUUUAAUUCAUCCGGGGGGGAGGUCUUAUUUGAUUGUCAUUUAUUCAAGUUCUACAAUUGAAUUCAUGGGUUCAAUGUACACAUAUGUCCACUAGGGAAAAGUAGUGAAUGGUGACUGGAUUCAGAUGACAUUUUCAAUUUCAAUUUACACAUGUGGCAGCUUUUAUAGAGCAAGGAGAAACCCUUUUCUUUAGUUUGUGUAGCAGUCCAUGCCAUUUCCAUGUUUACUAAAGGUGUGUUUGGGAGUCUUUAGGGGAGGGGAAGACUCUGAAGGGAAGAGGAGGGGAGGAAAGAGAGGGGGAAGGGGGGUAAGCGCCCUUCCCUUGUUUGGAAGUUCCUAAUACUUCAGAAUCCCUUAAUUUGGGGGAACUAACAAAAAUAACUAAAAGAAGGUUUUGGAGGGGUCUUUGGUGGGUUUUCAGAAAUACCUCCAAACCCUCCCCCCAUUUUUUGAAAUCUCCCAAUCAAGGGGAGAACUUCUCAUAAGCCUCCCCCUUCCCUUCCCUCCCCUCCAAAACUCAACUCACAAACACACCCUAAAGAAAUUAUACGUAGGGUUUGCAACUUUAAACGCUUUGUGCUUGUGAUCUGGACCAUCUGGUGGUCUGUGCAUGAAACCUGAGUUCAAGAUACACAUAUUCCCCUAGUCAAGCAGUUGAUUUGUUCUGUUGUUAGAGGUGUGAUCUUCUAAUAGUUCCAAAAUUGAUGAUGAAAACCACAGGAGGUGCACCUUUGUCUUUGCUAGACUUGUAUCUCUGACCUCUAGCAAAGCUAAAAAUUCUUUAAAAACAACUUAUAUUUAAAUUUGGAAAAUUUUCAAAACACCACAUGCUUCCCUUUAUGAUGUCUGACUUGGUCAUUUAAGAUUUUUUCUAUUCUGUGUUCAAGUUAUUGUCUUGUAAAGAAUUUGAUAGGUUUGUAAAUUCUGUUGCCCAUGCUUUCAAAUCAGAUAGCUGCUGAUGUGUAGUGUUGUUGUUUACUUUGGUUUAGAGGACUUAUGUGUGUGCUCUUAUCUCUUCCAAAAUGGGUUACAUCCUAGAUGAGGCAGAAAACAAGAAAACCAGUAGGAAGAACAAGUGGAUGGCUUUGUAGUCCUUGCUGCUUCUGCUUCCAUUAAAAGCUUUUCUAUGCUUAUUGAACUGUUGCAGUGAGAUAGGAUGGUGACAUUAGCCUUGCAUCUGUAGCAGAACAGAUUCCGUUAAGCCUUGUAAGACUUGGUCAUUUUAUAUACAUGAUUCCAAGUGCAGUUCAGGUGAUAAUAUGCUCCUAAAGGUGUAGCCAAUCAUCGAGCAAUGUUUCACGAAGAUCAAGACUGCAGCAGGUGCCAUGCAAUCUUAUAAGUUUGCAGCAAAAGCGAUUCAAUCUGUGCCUGUUGGGAGAAUGGAUGAUACAGUGAUUUAAGAAGUUUUUGAAGUCACAGGUUAUGAGUUAUGACACAUUGAUUGCUUAUCUUCAUGAGGAUGAUCAUGGGGAAGUGAUUGCUGAGGUCACAUUAAGUUGUUUAUUUUAGCAUUGUGCUGAGUAAAGCGAUGACUGGUUUGGAAACAGAGAGGGUUGCAAGAGGGUACUGAAUUUGGAACUGCUCAAAAAAAAAAUUCUGCAUACUGGCACUCAGUGCCAACACCAACGUAGCAAAAUUCUGGAUGACUCAGAUCAUGACGGCAUCAUUGAUGGAUAUGAUAUCUGUGAAUCUUGUGCUUCUAUAUUUUUCCUUGCCAUUUGUGUCAUUGUGUGGCUGUUAAUCAUUUUCAAAUAAGAACUCCUAUUAAAUCAUACAAGUUCCUAUUUCCCAACGUCAGUUUAGCUCAAAACAAAAAAGUCUUAAAAUUCAUGCGUGAUUCUUAACCCCAAAAAUAAAACAUUCCUAAUAUUGAGUA